UUCCUAUCUCUUUUGGCAUUUCUGCAAUUCAGUUCAAAGAUAUAGCCCAUUCCUUUGAUACUGAUGCAUUCUUAACAUAGUCCUGAUGUAUGUCUUGGGAGUACUUUGGAUGAGUACUCACCGUUGCUUUGCUUCCCUUUUCUCUUUGAUACAAUUAUUGCGAACAGGUGACGCAGCGAAGGACACAAUUUAUCCCACUAACGACUACUACUACCCCGAAUGAGCCUACUACUACGUGGAGGCCACUGACGACCAAGAGUAGUUAGGAGGCUCCGAGGCAGGAGGCCUUGCCUUUUCGAUCCAUGUUGAUGUUUGUGCUAGCCUUCUUAAGGAAAACUUUUUGUCUUAUAUAUGUACUCAGAUAUUGUUGCUUCCGUUGACUCGUUUGUAUUCAAGCAUAUGUAUUUGAGCCCUCGAAGCCC
This 422-nucleotide long non-coding RNA is filed under the name Hordeum vulgare. RNAcentral describes it as "long non-coding RNA (HVUL_LNC003250)". The record is from RNAcentral. Lineage: Eukaryota; Viridiplantae; Streptophyta; Magnoliopsida; Poales; Poaceae.